Etheostoma cragini (Arkansas darter) is the source of this 336-nucleotide long non-coding RNA. RefSeq lists it as uncharacterized. The transcript has 3 exons. Lineage: Eukaryota; Metazoa; Chordata; Actinopteri; Perciformes; Percidae. The record is from RefSeq and is a predicted model, not a curated record.
AACGAGUGUCUUAAAAAUCAAAGAACACUCAUGGCAGAAGAAAUUCUCAGAGCAUCAGUUUCCAAGCAUGAGUUCUGUUCCUUCUGUGGAAAUAAAAACCUGCCCGAACCUGCUGGAGAUUACGUUUGGAUUCAGUGUGGAACUUGCACAAGAUGGUUUCACACGCAGGGCCUUGGAAUGACAGCAGCACAAAUGCCAAACCAAAACAGGAUUGUGUUGUGUAACAGCCCUAGCUAAAGAGGAUGUAGGUAGAUGUAGUUUGGGGUUUAGGUCUGGAUAACUACAAGAGACAAAAUGUAAACUACUACCACAAUGGUAAUUAUACACAAACUGUAU